This 253-nucleotide ribosomal RNA is filed under the name uncultured bacterium. RNAcentral's name for it is "partial 16S ribosomal RNA". It matches the Rfam family "Bacterial small subunit ribosomal RNA", at positions 524 to 776 of the family's 1533-position model. The record is from RNAcentral.
UACAGAGGGUGCGAGCGUUGUUCGGAAUUAUUGGGCGUAAAGGGCGCGUAGGCGGUGCGGUAAGUCACCUCUGAAAUCUCCUGGCUCAACUGGGAGCUUGCAGGCGAAACUGCCGUGCUGGAGUGUGGGAGAGGUGCGUGGAAUUCCUGGUGUAGCGGUGAAAUGCGUAGAUAUCAGGAGGAACACCUGUGGCGAAAGCGGCGCACUGGACCACAACUGACGCUGAGGCGCGAAAGCUAGGGGAGCAAACAGG